Molecule: ribosomal RNA, 465 nt
Filed under: uncultured bacterium
Lineage: Bacteria
Description: partial 16S ribosomal RNA
Rfam family: Bacterial small subunit ribosomal RNA
Source: RNAcentral
CCUACGGGUGGCAGCAGUGGGGAAUAUUGCGCAAUGGGCGAAAGCCUGACGCAGCGACGCAGCGUGAGGGAUGAAGGUCUUCGGAUCGGAAACCUCUGUCAGCAGGGAAGUACGGUCACUGUGCUAAUCAGCAGUGAAUUGACGGUACCUGCAAAGGAAGCACCGGCUCACUCCGUGCCAGCAGCCGCGGUAAUACGGAGGGUGCGAGCGUGAAUCGGAAUUACUGGGCGUAAAGCGCUCGUAGGCGGUAUGUCAAGUCAAGGGUGAAAGUUCCGCGCUCAACGGGGGAACUGCCUUUGAAACUGGCAAACUGGAGUGUGUGAGAGGAUAGUGGAAUUCGAGGUGUAGGAGUGAAAUGCGUAGAUAUCUGGAAGAACAUCAGUGGCGAAGGCGACUAUCUGGCACAUAACUGACGCUGAGGAGCGAAAGCGUGGGUAGCAAACAGGAUUAGAUACCCGAGUAGUC